Eucalyptus grandis is the source of this 265-nucleotide long non-coding RNA. RefSeq lists it as uncharacterized. NCBI's taxonomy places the organism in Eukaryota, Viridiplantae, Streptophyta, Magnoliopsida, Myrtales, Myrtaceae. The record is from RefSeq and is a predicted model, not a curated record. The transcript is spliced from 3 exons.
GUCCAAUCAGAGCAAGAAACUCUCCGCUCAUAUUCGCGCUUCUCCUUUGGAGGCCAUUGACCAGAGGACUUGGAUGGUUCUAUUCAAGUUGCUCAACCGUCAUGUAUUUAAUGAUAUAAAUGGUUGCAUUUCCACUGGCAAAGAAGCAAGCGUCUCUCAUGCAACAAAAUCUGACGGGCAAGAAUUGGCAAUCAAGGCCUACAAGACUUCGGUGCUGGUGUUUAAGUCUGAUGGUUUUUAGUUUUUUGCAAGGCCCCUGCGUGGG